GACGAACGCUGGCGGCGUGGAUUAGGCAUGCAAGUCGAACGGUAUCAUCCUUUCGGGGGUGAGAGAGUGGCGAACUGGUGAGUAACACGUAGGUUAUCUACCCUCAAGACGGGGACAACCCAGGGGAAACUUGGGCUAAUACCGGAUGUGAGCAACUUUUAGUUGUUUGAAAGGUGGCGUAAGCGUGUCGCUUGGGGAUGAGCCUGCGUCCUAUUAGUUAGUUGGUGAGGUAACGGCUCACCUAGGGCAAUGAUAGGUAGGCGGCCUUAACGGGUGGUCGCCCACACUGGGAUUGAGAUACGGCCCAGACUCCUACGGGAGGCAGCAGUCGAGAAUAGUCUACAAUGGUCGGAAGACUGAUAGUGCGACGCCGCGUGAACGAUGAAUCCCUUCGGGGUGUAAAGUUCUUUUAUAUGUGAGCAGUGCUUCUUAUAUUAACAGUAUGGGGAGAGAGAUAUUAGCAUAUGAAUAAGCAACGGCUAACUCCGUGCCAGCAGCCGCGGUAAU
RNAcentral lists this ribosomal RNA (507 nucleotides) under uncultured bacterium. Its description in RNAcentral is "bacterial SSU rRNA". It matches the Rfam family "Bacterial small subunit ribosomal RNA", at positions 28 to 524 of the family's 1533-position model. The record is from RNAcentral.